GGCAAGUAACUCCUGGGUGGGAAUGAACUUCCGGGAUGUAAUGUACAUCGGUUCAUAAUGUUUGUGUGCCUUUCUAGAAUAACACAAUCCACAACAUAACAGGCCUAUGAAGGCUCCAUCAGCUCAGUAAAACAAAGAGUGAUAUAAAGACUGACACUGACUGUCCAUAAAAUCGCAUACAUUUAUGGACGAGGCUUCAUUCCAAGUCGUUGGUGUUGUGAUUGCUGUAGUGUCCAGUUUUAUCAAUGGAUCCAGGUGGGACUUACCUGGCUGACUGUGUGUGUGAUUGUAGGACAAAUAGGAAAUUUUCUGGCAUACAAUGUUGCCCCCGCAGUUGUGGUCACUCCCCUUGGUGUCUUAUUUGGGUGAAUUUCUACGUUAUAUUAUAUUAUAUUCAAGGUGUUCUACACAUUUAUUUGAUGCAGUGGUCUGAGCAAUCUCAAAAUAAUUAUUACAGCAACAACAACAUUUGACAUUUAUGUCACAUUUAUAUUAGCAUAUCAGGACAGCUUUACUGUGAAUUGAAGUGAUUUAUGUGAUUUUGUUUUUUCAUCAUUAAUCAGGGCUGUUCUGGCAUCAUGGCUUCUUCAGGAACAUCUCAAUCUCAUUGGCAAACUUGGCUGCUCUUUGUGCUGUUGUGGUUCGGUUGUGCACAUCAUUCACUCACUCAAGUCUGAAAAAAUGUCACAUCAAGAGCAGAACUAGAGGAGAGACUGAUGGACCCAUGAAA
RNAcentral lists this long non-coding RNA (730 nucleotides) under Sinocyclocheilus grahami. RNAcentral's name for it is "lncRNA (ENSSGRG00000009050.1)". The record is from RNAcentral. Lineage: Eukaryota; Metazoa; Chordata; Actinopteri; Cypriniformes; Cyprinidae.